This 253-nucleotide ribosomal RNA is filed under the name uncultured bacterium. Its description in RNAcentral is "partial 16S ribosomal RNA". It matches the Rfam family "Bacterial small subunit ribosomal RNA", at positions 524 to 776 of the family's 1533-position model. The record is from RNAcentral.
UACGAGGGGUCCAAGCGUUGUUCGGAAUCACUGGGCGUAAAGCGGGUGUAGGUGGCUAGGCAAGUUGGAUGUGAAAGCCCCGGGCUCAACCCGGGAAGUGCAUCCAAAACUACUUAGCUUGAGUAAGGAAGAGGAUGGGAGAAUUCUUGGUGUAGUGGUGAAAUACGUAGAUAUCAAGAGGAACACCGGUGGCGAAGGCGCCUAUCUGGUCCAUUACUGACACUCAGACCCGAAAGCGUGGGUAGCAAACAGG